GAUGAACGCUAGCUACAGGCUUAACACAUGCAAGUCGCAGGGUAACAUGAGGAAAGCUUGCUUUCCUUGAUGACGACUGGCGCACGGGGGAGUAACGCGUAUCCAACCUUCCCAUAACUACGGGAUAACCCGUUGAAAGAAGGCCCAAUACCGGAUGAUAUCGUUUUCUGGCAUCAAAUAACGAUUAAAGGGUUAACGGUUAUGGAUGGGGAUGCGUCUGAUUAGCUUGUUGGCGGGGUAACGGCCCACCAAGGCGACGAUCAGUAGGGGUUCUGAGAGGAAGGUCCCCCACAUUGGAACUGAGACACGGUCCAAACUCCUACGGGAGGCAGCAGUGAGGAAUAUUGGUCAAUGGGCGAGAGCCUGAACCAGCCAAGUAGCGUGCAGGACGACGGCCCUAUGGGUUGUAAACUGCUUUUAUGUGGGGAUAAAGUGCGUGACGUGUCAUGCAUUGCAGGUACCACAUGAAUAAGGACCGGCUAAUUCCGUG
This 490-nucleotide ribosomal RNA is filed under the name uncultured bacterium. RNAcentral describes it as "partial 16S ribosomal RNA". It matches the Rfam family "Bacterial small subunit ribosomal RNA", at positions 28 to 507 of the family's 1533-position model. The record is from RNAcentral.